AACGCACGAGACCUGCGGACCUGCGGAAGGAUCAUUAAUGAGAAACUGCCCCUCGCGGGUAGAUCUCCCACCCUUUGUAAACUUACCUUUGUUGCUUUGGCAGGCCCGUCUCCGGACCGCCGGCUUCGGCUGGCCAGUGCCUGCCAGAGGAUUCUAAAACUCUGUCUGUCAGUGUUGUCUGAGUCUAAAUACAAUCGUUAAAACUUUCAACAACGGAUCUCUAGAUCGGAAGAGCACACG
Molecule: unclassified non-coding RNA, 240 nt
Filed under: soil metagenome
Description: partial contains 5.8S ribosomal RNA, internal transcribed spacer 2, and large subunit ribosomal RNA
Source: RNAcentral